RNAcentral lists this ribosomal RNA (1247 nucleotides) under Candidatus Phytoplasma oryzae. RNAcentral's name for it is "bacterial SSU rRNA". It matches the Rfam family "Bacterial small subunit ribosomal RNA", at positions 153 to 1399 of the family's 1533-position model. Lineage: Bacteria; Bacillati; Mycoplasmatota; Mollicutes; Acholeplasmatales; Acholeplasmataceae. RNAcentral also lists the same sequence under 1 other name. The record is from RNAcentral.
GAAACGACUGCUAAGACUGGAUAGGAAAUAAAAAGGCAUCUUUUUAUUUUUAAAAGACCUUUUUCGGAAGGUAUGCUUAAAGAGGGGCUUGCGUCACAUUAGUUAGUUGGCAGGGUAAAGGCCUACCAAGACUAUGAUGUGUAGCUGGACUGAGAGGUUGAACAGCCACAUUGGGACUGAGACACGGCCCAAACUCCUACGGGAGGCAGCAGUAGGGAAUUUUCGGCAAUGGAGGAAACUCUGACCGAGCAACGCCGCGUGAACGAUGAAGUAUUUCGGUAUGUAAAGUUCUUUUAUUGAAGAAGAAAAAAUAGUGGAAAAACUAUCUUGACGAUAUUCAAUGAAUAAGCCCCGGCAAACUAUGUGCCAGCAGCCGCGGUAAUACAUAGGGGGCGAGCGUUAUCCGGAAUUAUUGGGCGUAAAGGGUGCGUAGGCGGUUUAAUAAGUCUAUAGUUUAAUUUCAGUGCUUAACACUGUCCUGCUAUAGAAACUAUUAGACUAGAGUGAGAUAGAGGCAAGUGGAAUUCCAUGUGUAGCGGUAAAAUGCGUAAAUAUAUGGAGGAACACCAGAGGCGUAGGCGGCUUGCUGGGUCUUUACUGACGCUGAGGCACGAAAGCGUGGGGAGCAAACAGGAUUAGAUACCCUGGUAGUCCACGCCGUAAACGAUGAGUACUAAGUGUCGGGAUUACUCGGUACUGAAGUUAACACAUUAAGUACUCCGCCUGAGUAGUACGUACGCAAGUAUGAAACUUAAAGGAAUUGACGGGACUCCGCACAAGCGGUGGAUCAUGUUGUUUAAUUCGAAGAUACACGAAAAACCUUACCAGGUCUUGACAUACUCUGCAAAGCUAUAGCAAUAUAGUGGAGGUUAUCAGAGAUACAGGUGGUGCAUGGUUGUCGUCAGCUCGUGUCGUGAGAUGUUAGGUUAAGUCCUAAAACGAGCGCAACCCUUGUCAUUAGUUGCCAGCAUGUCAUGAUGGGCACUUUAAUGAGACUGCCAAUGAAAAAUUGGAGGAAGGUGAGGAUCACGUCAAAUUAUCAUGCCCCUUAUGAUCUGGGCUACAAACGUGAUACAAUGGCUGUUACAAAGAGUAGCUGAAACGCAAGUUUAUAGCCAAUCUCAUAAAAGCAGUCUCAGUUCGGAUUGAAGUCUGCAACUCGACUUCAUGAAGUUGGAAUCGCUAGUAAUCGCGAAUCAGCAUGUCGCGGUGAAUACGUUCACGGGGUUUGUACACACCGCCCGUCA